RNAcentral lists this ribosomal RNA (482 nucleotides) under uncultured bacterium. RNAcentral describes it as "partial 16S ribosomal RNA". It matches the Rfam family "Bacterial small subunit ribosomal RNA", at positions 30 to 507 of the family's 1533-position model. The record is from RNAcentral.
AUUGAACGCUGGCGGCAUGCUUUACACAUGCAAGUCGAACGGUAACAGCACUUCGGUGGCUGACGAGUGGCGAACGGGUGAGUAAUACAUCGGAACGUGCCUAGUAGUGGGGGAUAACUACUCGAAAGAGUAGCUAAUACCGCAUGAGAUCUAAGGAUGAAAUCAGGGGACCUUCGGGCCUUGCGCUACUAGAGCGGCUGAUGGCCGAUUAGGUAGUUGGUGGGAUAAAAGCUUACCAAGCCGACGAUCUGUAGCUGGUCUGAGAGGACGACCAGCCACACUGGGACUGAGACACGGCCCAGACGCCUACGGGAGGCAGCAGUGGGGAAUUUUGGACAAUGGGCGCAAGCCUGAUCCAGCAAUGCCGCGUGCAGGAUGAAGGCCUUCGGGUUGUAAACUGCUUUUGUACGGAACGAAAAGCCCUCUUCUAAUACAGGAGGGUCAUGACGGUACCGUAAGAAUAAGCACCGGCUAACUACGUG